CCCUUAGAUGUUCUGGGCCGCACGCGCGCUACACUGAUGCGUUCAACAAGUUUCCUUGGCCGAGAGGCCUGGGCAAUCUUCUUAAUAUGUAUCGUGAUAGGGAUAGAUUAUUGCAAUUAUUAAUCUUGAACGAGGAAUUCCUAGUAAACGCAGAUCAUCAAUCUGCAUUGAUUACGUCCCUGCCCUUUGUACACACCGCCCGUCGCACCUACCGAUUGGAUGUUCCGGUGAAGCCUCGGGAUGAGGACUGGUGCCUUUAUUGGCAUGAGUUGUUCAGAACUUGUCUAAACCUUAUCAUCUAGAGGAAGUAAAAGUCGUAACA
RNAcentral lists this ribosomal RNA (322 nucleotides) under uncultured eukaryote. RNAcentral describes it as "partial 18S ribosomal RNA". It matches the Rfam family "Eukaryotic small subunit ribosomal RNA", at positions 1470 to 1796 of the family's 1831-position model. The record is from RNAcentral.